CAGGCAAAGGCAAGAGGUGGUUGAUUGCUAUGUUCUUUACUAAAUGAAUAAAAAUAAUGAUGACAUGAAUAAUUCAUGAUCGCAACAUUAUACACUAUACUCCAAUCUUCUGUCUCAACCCUCGUAGCACUCUGAGAUAAGGGACGGCUGGUAAGGGGAAUUUUCACCACACUAGCCAAUCGGAGAUGGUCAUACUGAGGCUUUAGCAUUUUACAUUCAGUUUUUUAUCUUUGGAGGAAGAUGAUCCAGCACUAAAAAUAUUUACUUUAAAUGUCCCUACAAGGCCAGGAAUAUCCAUCCAUUCUCUGUACCAGUUAUCCUACACAGGGUCGCGGGGAGCCUGGAGCCUGUCGCAGGGGACUCGGGGCACAAGGCAUGGGACACCCUGGACGGGGUGCCAGCCAUCCACAGGGCACAAUCACCCACACACUCACACACCCAUUCACACACUGUGGACAAUCUGGAAAUGCCAACCUGCCAACAACACAUGUCUUUGGACUGGGGGAGGACACUGGAGUACCCUGAGGAAACCUGAAGCACAGGGAGAACAUACAAACUCCACCCAGGAAUAUCUUCAAAAAAUAAAU
Molecule: long non-coding RNA, 587 nt
Organism: Pangasianodon hypophthalmus (striped catfish)
Lineage: Eukaryota; Metazoa; Chordata; Actinopteri; Siluriformes; Pangasiidae
Exons: 3
Source: RefSeq, a predicted model, not a curated record